UGGAAACAAUUCGCUUUUCACACCAGCAUCAAUAUGGCCCCCAAGAGGAGUAUUUCCAGCCAUUUGAACUAUUUGAUUACCCUGCUUACAAAGGCAUAGGUUAUAUAAAUAAAAAAGUAUCAACAUACUCCAUAACAAGCAAAGAAGGCAUAUUAGGAGUCUCACAUUUGGUGUGCGCCAGAGUGCAUUAGGUACAGGUGGUUGAUAUGCCAACUGUGGUCAACACUGUACUGAUGACUAGGGCAGUAGCAUGGAUUGAGAUAGCAGUGAAGGUUGAGUUGGCACUGGUGGUUGAGGUAUAAAGACUGAAGGGUAAGUGUGGGAAAACACUUAUUUACAGCUGGUUGUAAUCUUGUAAUCUGUAUAUUUAUAUUUGUAUCUCUAGAAUUAAGUAUUUGUAUCCCUAGAAUUAAGGAAGAUUUAGUUUCCUAGUUUAACCCUUAGUUAGUUGUAUAUAAACCUAAGAUUCUUGUAUAAUUGUAGAUAAGCAGUUUUUCAAUAUACAUUCAGUUUUCACAUGGUAUCAGAGCUUUAGGCUAUUCUUGGGAAGAAAAAUUUUUCAGCCUUCAUUGCUGACUUUUUUAGGCCUUCAUUGCCGACUUUUUUAGGCUUUCAUUGCCGAAUCCUGUUUAGGCCUUCAUUGCCGAACCCUUUCAAAGAAAGAUAUCACUAUCAUCCAAUUUGAGAAAAUGUUAACUGGAAAAAUCACUGGAGUACUACAAAUGUCUCAGAAAAAAGGAGAGUUCAACAGGGAAGAGAUUGAAAAGUUGAGAAACUUAUUGAAAAUCCUUGAAAAGCCUACUAUGGUAUGUUCUUUGGGUAAAGUUUCUAGUUCAGGUAAAGCUUUCGGUUCUCAUGGAUUAAAUGUCUCGGCUAACCUAUUACGAGUUCUUGGGUCAUUGACUCAGGAGCUACAGACCACAUGACACAUUCCCCACAAAAGUUUAGUACAUAUAACCUGUGUCCUAGUAAUAAGAAAAUUGUUGUUGCUGAUGGUUCACUUACCACAGUGGCAGGAUUAGGAGAUGUUCAAGUUAAUCCCUCGUUUGUUCUCAAAAAUGUUCUUCAUGUUCCUGGAUUGUCUACUAAUCUGAUAUCUAUACAAAAACUUACCAAAGAUAUGAAUUGCAAAGUAACUUUUUAUCCCUCUUAUUGUGAAUUUCAGGACCAGAGUUCGGGGAAGAUGAUUGGACUUGCUAAGGAGAAGGAUGGACUAUACUAUCUUGAGACAUCAAAUAACACAAGUAGUAUCAAAAAUAGUUUACCUUUGUCAUUUCUUUCUGAAAAAUCUUCCAAUAAAGACAAAAUUUGGCUUUAUCAUUUUCGUCUUGGACAUCCUUCUUUUGGAACCUUGAGAAACAUGUUUCCUUCUUUGUUCAAAGGAUUAAAUGUUGAAGAUUUUCAUUGUGAUAUUUGUGAAUUUGCAAAACAUAGACGUGUGUCUUUUCCAAUCAGUAACAAAAGAAGUUCUACUCCCUUUUACUUGAUUCAUAGUGACAUUUGGGGUCCCUCUACAAUUCCUAAUAUUUCUGGUGCGAGAUGAUUUGUUUCAUUCAUAGAUGAUUGUACUAGGGUCUCUUGGGUUUUUUUGCUUAAAUCCAAAUCAGAUGUGAAUAGUGUGUUUUUUAAGCUUCCAAAACAUGAUCCAAAAUCAAUUUGGAGUGAGAAUCAAUAGAUUUAGGUCUGAUAAUGCAAGAGACUACUUCAACUAGAGUUUAUCCAC
RNAcentral lists this long non-coding RNA (1723 nucleotides) under Durio zibethinus. RNAcentral's name for it is "long non-coding RNA (DZIB_LNC001577)". Lineage: Eukaryota; Viridiplantae; Streptophyta; Magnoliopsida; Malvales; Malvaceae. The record is from RNAcentral.